This is a long non-coding RNA of Seriola aureovittata, 1257 nucleotides long. RefSeq lists it as uncharacterized. The transcript has 3 exons. Lineage: Eukaryota; Metazoa; Chordata; Actinopteri; Carangiformes; Carangidae. The record is from RefSeq and is a predicted model, not a curated record.
AUAGGAAGCAUUGAAGCUCCUUUCCGUAUCAUUUAGAGAAUUCCACCUGCUCAGUUAGGAACCUUCCUAACCAAAAAUGACUUUUCGACUGCAGCACUGACUUUAUGAGGAGGCCUCCAUUUUGUAGCCAGAAAGCUAACAAACAGCAGACCCGCUAACACAGCCGAAGACGGAGUUGGACGGAGGGAGAGGGAGAUGAGAAAUCAGGGAAGAGCAGCGGAUAAUUGCUCGGCUGUCUGCUUUGGACUUCUCACGACGAUAUUCAUAACCUGGAAUACUUUCAUGAAGAAACCCUUUUGAUUUUUGUGACCUGUGCACCCUUAUGGACUAAAGGAAUGAGAAUAAUGGACGAAUGGAGCGUGGUUCUACACAUCUAAACGCCCUCCACCUCCCCACACUCUCUUCUCUCCCUUCGUAGUGAUUGAUGGAGUUAGGCAACAGAGCACAGAGCAACGUGUGGCCAACAGUCCAAGACAGCCUGCAUCAGAGAAAAAAGAGAGAGCCUCGGACCCCCUACCGGGCCGACCCCCACGCUGACCCCCUCCACGCUUUGAGACUGACCCGCUCUGAGGUGCGAACUUCUGUCCCCCAGCUGAUAGAGCCUCCCGAUCAUUUUAACAGUCCCCAUCCCUCCAUGUUUAUGACUCUGCAGUUUGAUUAUAGCAAAGGGGGCUUGGAGAGGUAAGAGCCCCGGAGAGACACACACAUACACACACACACACACACACACACACACACACACACACACACACUUGCAUCAAAGGAGCUAUGAGAGGAAUGUGGACAUUUGUUGUUUGUUUUAUCAUCCAGUACCAGCACUUAUCUGCUUAAUCAUAAAGGAUUGGCCUGGGAAUGAGGCAGGAGGGACGCUGUGCUGGCCAAACAAACUAUCCCCAACACUGUAAUAGAGGGAAGUGCCAGAUUCAAUGUGCUUACAGCAGCUUACAAGGUACAUGGGAGUUUUAUGUGAAGAGAGAGCAGAAGAACAGAACAGAGAGAGGCCAAUGUUUACUUUAACAUUAAGUCCUGGCAAAGGACGGACUGUUCCUGUUACUAAAGACACACCUGAGUGAGCACUAUUUAUGAUCCUUAGUUUAGAUUGCACUUUUCCUUUUAUGUUGGGGUGCAUAGGGGUCUAUUAGAUAACCAGGUAAUAUAUUAUCUUGGAAGACUUUAUUGAUACAUGGUUAACAAUAUUAUGAUACAUCAUCAAUACACCAAGUAUCAUUGUUUCCAUUAAACAUAUGGUUGAAAGUA